Molecule: non-coding RNA, 25 nt
Filed under: Mus musculus (house mouse)
Lineage: Eukaryota; Metazoa; Chordata; Mammalia; Rodentia; Muridae
Source: RNAcentral
UGUGCUGAACUGGAGAGGCAACACC